AGCCUGUGAUGUUUGAGAUUGUCCGUACCAUCUGAGAUUAUUAUAUUCUCCUUGACGAUUACCUCCACUUUCUGAGGCUU
This is a non-coding RNA of Arabidopsis thaliana x Arabidopsis arenosa, 80 nucleotides long. The record is from the annotation of a GenBank genome assembly. NCBI's taxonomy places the organism in Eukaryota, Viridiplantae, Streptophyta, Magnoliopsida, Brassicales, Brassicaceae.